This 253-nucleotide ribosomal RNA is filed under the name uncultured bacterium. RNAcentral describes it as "partial 16S ribosomal RNA". It matches the Rfam family "Bacterial small subunit ribosomal RNA", at positions 524 to 776 of the family's 1533-position model. The record is from RNAcentral.
UACGAAGGUGGCAAGCGUUGUUCGGAUUUACUGGGCGUAAAGGGAGCGUAGGUGGUUAGGUAAGCCCUCCGGGAAAUCUUCAGGCUCAACCUGAAAAGGUCGGGGGGGACUGCCUAGCUAGAGGGCGGGAGAGGAGCGCGGAAUUCCCGGUGUAGCGGUGAAAUGCGUAGAGAUCGGGAGGAAGGCCGGUGGCGAAGGCGGCGCUCUGGACAGUUACUGACGCUGAGGUACGAAAGCGUGGGGAGCAAACGGG